Non-coding RNA from Delphinapterus leucas (beluga whale), 191 nucleotides. The record is from RefSeq and is a predicted model, not a curated record. NCBI's taxonomy places the organism in Eukaryota, Metazoa, Chordata, Mammalia, Artiodactyla, Monodontidae.
GGAAAAAAAAGUCAAGGACUGCAUUUGUGACUAAUUGUAUAACAGGUUACUUUAGUUUCUGUUCUGUGGAAAGUGUAAAGCAUUCCAACAAAGGGUUUUAAUGUAGAUUUUUUUUUUUUUUUUGCACCCAUGCUGUUGAUUGCUAAAUGUAAUAGUCUGAUCAUGACGCUGAAUAAAUGUGUGUGUUUUUU